This 73-nucleotide transfer RNA is filed under the name Stegodyphus mimosarum. It matches the Rfam family "tRNA". From Rfam's summary of the family: Transfer RNA (tRNA) molecules are approximately 80 nucleotides in length. The record is from Rfam by way of RNAcentral. Lineage: Eukaryota; Metazoa; Arthropoda; Arachnida; Araneae; Eresidae.
GCCUUCGUGGUUUAGUGGUCAACACACUCGACGAGUAACCGAGAGGUCCGUGGUUCGAGUCCCGGCCAGGGCA